RNAcentral lists this transfer RNA (65 nucleotides) under Pochazia shantungensis. RNAcentral describes it as "tRNA-Asn". The record is from RNAcentral. Lineage: Eukaryota; Metazoa; Arthropoda; Insecta; Hemiptera; Ricaniidae.
UUAAUUGAAGCUAAAAAGAAGCAUUCCACUGUUAAUGGAAAAAUUGAAAAACAGAUCCAAUUAAA